UUUCGGGGAGGACGCUCACCACUUUGUGGUUCAUGACUGGGGUGAAGUCGUAACAAGGUAGCCCUAGGGGAACCUGGGGCUGGAUCACCUCCUUAUACGAAGAU
Molecule: ribosomal RNA, 104 nt
Filed under: Vibrio sp. 070316B
Lineage: Bacteria; Pseudomonadati; Pseudomonadota; Gammaproteobacteria; Vibrionales; Vibrionaceae
Description: partial 16S ribosomal RNA
Rfam family: Bacterial small subunit ribosomal RNA
Source: RNAcentral